RNAcentral lists this ribosomal RNA (1043 nucleotides) under Ferrovibrio sp. Its description in RNAcentral is "bacterial SSU rRNA". It matches the Rfam family "Bacterial small subunit ribosomal RNA", at positions 426 to 1470 of the family's 1533-position model. Lineage: Bacteria; Pseudomonadati; Pseudomonadota; Alphaproteobacteria; Rhodospirillales; Rhodospirillaceae. The record is from RNAcentral.
AAAAGGAUCCUUUUCUCCAGAGGAAAGAUAAUGAACGGUACCUUGGAAAAAAGAAAGCCUCGGCUAACUCCGUGCCAGCAGCCCGCGGUAAGACGGAGGAGGCUAGCGUUGUUCGUAAUUACUGGGCGUAAAGCGUGCGCAGGUUGUGAGUUCCAGUUGGAUGUGAAAGCCCGGGGCUUAUCCUCGGAUGUGCAUACAAUACUGGCUCGCUGGAGGUUGGAAGAGGAGAGUGGAAUUCCCAGUGUAGAGGUGAAAUUCGUAGAUAUUGGGAAGAACACCAGUGGCGAAGGCGGCUCUCUGGUCCAUACCUGACACUCAUGCACGAAAGCGUGGGGAGCAAACAGGAUUAGAUACCCUGGUAGUCCACGCCGUAAACGAUGUGUGCUAGACGUCGGAAGGCUUGCCUUUCGGUGUCGCAGCUAACGCGAUAAGCACACCGCCUGGGGAGUACGGCCGCAAGGUUAAAACUCAAAGGAAUUGACGGGGGCCCGCACAAGCGGUGGAGCAUGUGGUUUAAUUUGAAGCAACGCGCAGAACCUUACCAGCCCUUGACAUGGGAAGUAUGGACUUGAGAGAUCAGGUUCUUCAGUUCGGCUGGCUUCCACACAAAGUGCUGCAAGGCUGUCGUCAGCUCGUGUCGUGAGAUGUUGGGUUAAGUCCCGCAACGAGCGCAACCCUCGCCUUCAGUUGCCAUCACUUCUAGGUGGGCACUCUGAAGGAACUGCCGGUGACAAGCCGGAGGAAGGUGGGGAUGACGUCAAGUCCUCAUGGCCCUUACGGGCUGGGCUACACACGUGCUACAAUGGCGACUACAAUGGGAAGCGAAGGAGCGAUCCGGAGCCAAUCCACAAAAGUCGUCUCAGUUCGGAUUGCAGUCUGCAACUCGGCUGCAUGAAGUCGGAAUCGCUAGUAAUCGUGGUUCAUCCCCCCACGGUGAAUACGUUCCCGGGCCUUGUACCCACUGCCCCUCCCCCCAUGGGAGUUGGUUCUACCUUAAGCCGCCGCGCCGACCGCAAGGGGCAGCGGACCCCGGUGGGUAAUCU